This 224-nucleotide unclassified non-coding RNA is filed under the name plant metagenome. Its description in RNAcentral is "partial contains small subunit ribosomal RNA, internal transcribed spacer 1, and 5.8S ribosomal RNA". The record is from RNAcentral.
UCUCCGUUGGUGAACCAGCGGAGGGAUCAUUACAGGACUCGCAAGACUCCUUCACCCUGUGAACCUCACUACAAGCGCGUUGCUUCGGCGGGUGUCCCGGCGGGGGUUUUCCCUGGCCGGGGCGCACAGCCCGCCGGCAGCCUACUAUACUCUGUCUCUUUGCGUUGGCAUCUCGAGAAAAAACAAACAAGUCAAAACUUUCAACAACGGAUCUCUUGGUUCUG